UGCUUCAAACAUCAAAAUGGUAUGUUUUGAAAAAAAUACGAGUAGAAUUUCUUUAAUUUCUCAUCAAUCCGACUUCGAAUUAAGAUUUCAAACACGAAUCACUAUAGCCUAUAUAAAACGUUAUGCAACUUAUACCGUUAUUUAAUUAUUUAAUGAUAACUUGUUUUUAAACCCGAAAAAGUCCGCAGUUAUAAAUUGGGCCAAUUGACUCUAGUGAAGAUAUUAAUUUGCUGUUGAUGUCCAAAUGGUGUUCUCGUAGUCUUAAAAUUUGUCUAAAGUCGGGGAUAUUAUGUAUAUGAACAGGCUAAGUCGCCAAGUAUAUGUGUAUAGAGAUCCAGAUUUCACUGCAUCUAUAUUAUAACAGACAUCCCAACAAUCCAACUACUGGAGGUAAAAUUUAGGGAGACUGUUCAAUGAAUUGAAAUCUAGUUCUUCUGGGAAAAAAUAAUAGAAAUUAAGUCUUCUGAAAUGACGUUUCCUGCAUUUUGGGACUAUGUUGUUAUAAAUGAUCCUAUAAAUUGCCAUAAAGUAACUUCAAAAAAGGUCCGAGACAGACUAUUAUGUUGCUAAAAACAGUAUAUUUAUAAUUUUUUUAUGAUAUUUCCUGAAUAUUCUGAAAAAUGGGGAGAAUUUGAUAAAAAUCGGGAGACCGGGAGAUUGCAUGAACUUUCGGGAGACUCCCGGUAAAAUCGGGAGAGUUGGAAUGUCUGUUAUAAAUAGAAUUUACAUGUAUAUGACUAGUAUCAAAUAUAGUAAUUCAUUCAUAUAUCAAUAAUUUUUAAUACUAGUAUCGAGAAAGGUUCUUGGUAAUGUAUUUUAGCAGCCUCGUACGGAGUCGUACCCAGGCGCUUUGAUUGGCUUUGACACUACGCACCUUGAUUCCUGCGCGUGCGCCACACAACCAGUUACACGGCUAAAAACGCACAGGUUGUUCCAAGUUGAUAUUGACAGGCGUGAACAAUGUUGUUUGUUCCAAGUUGAUAUCGACAGGCGUGAACAAUGUUGUGCGGCCAACUAUGAACAAGUUGUCAACCAUGUUCUUCCAAGUUGUUACAGUUGAAAAUGCUGUAACAACAUGUUGAUAAUACUGUUCAUUGUGGGCCGCACAACCUUGUUCACGCCUGUUGAUAUCAACCUGGAACAAAUUGUUGAUUUUCUCAAUUUUUACGCAUGUAGCACAUCAAAGCACCUGGGACGAGGCUGGUAUUUUAGGCAGUUUGGUAAGAUUUACGAAUGUUUCGGUGCAAAGAGUAUGAUAAAAUCGUGCAUAUUAGGAUGGCUAGCAGUGACUGAGAAAUACAUUUCGUUGAAUCAUCCUGCAAUUGUGAACCAUGUUGGACCAUGAUUUGACUGCAAUUGCUAUGUCUGUCACUAGCACAAAGUUGGUGACCGUUGACAAAGAGAUUUCUAUCCUGCUUUGCGGAAUUGUUCCUGAGGAAAGAGAUUGCCCUAUGUUACUACCUUACGUUUUAGUCUAACACCACAGAGCUCUGGGUUAAGCCUUCGUCAAACGACGUUGACGGUAACAACUCUCGCUUGCGUUUGACUACCAACUCUCAUUGACUCUCAUUAACUUUUGGUUCAAAUUUUGAUGGGUAUUUUUGCUACGUGCUUGGUAAUAUCCAGUCAACUCUCAUCGACACUCAUGCAACUCUUGUUCUCGUUUGAUCGAGACAUGAGAGUUGAGAAAACUCUAGUGCAAACUCUUGGGGUCAUCAUCUACCUACACUAUCCAGGCCCGUGGUUGGUUGAUUAUAACAACGAAAGAACGAGUCACGAACAAUAAUCAUUUUUGUUUCUGAAGGCCAAUCACAAAACAUGAUCAUUUUAGGUAGGUCUUUACCUAACUCUUGCUUCUCAACUCUCAUCAACACUCACUUUCAUUUGACCAGGGCUUUAAUCUAGAGCUUGAAAUGUCCCCUGUAACAAUGCAUAACAGCAAACUCUCAUCAACUCUCACCUUGUUUGACUGGUGCAUAAGUUCCAAAUCUGCUAUAAUUAAAUAUUUGGGAUGAAACAUUUCUGUGUAAACUACACAUGAACCCAGUGAGUACCAGUGCUCUCCCCUUAACAAGUAAAAUUGUACACUGUUAGACAGAGCAAGAUAGUAAAGUAGGGUUGAAUGAGGUCUGCGAAGCAGGACGAAAUCUAUUUGUUAACUGUCCCUUAUUGACAAUACUCUUCCCUUAUUGUCAAUACUGGUCAUACCAGUUUGGGCAUGCCCUACAGGUGUCUAUAGCAUGACAGUUGUUUGUCCGUGUUCAUGCUCGUACUGGCCAUGAAAGCCGCUACAUUGGGUCAUUCCAGAAAACAUUCAUACCUCCACAAAGGAAAUUGGAAGUCAACCUUCCUACCCCCUUCAAAUUUCCUAAUACACUUACUAUUAUCACAAACUCGACUUUUCUGCCCUUCCUUUCUGGACAAUACAAAUUUCCUUCUUGGGGGGAGUGUGGAUCUUUUGUGGAAUGACCCAUUCAAAUUUCUUAGCAUGGUCUGCAUGACUCGCAUGGCUCAAAUAAAUUGCUGGAAAACAGUUUAUUUGUGAUAUGCAUGAUGAUAUCUCGCAAUUGUUAAUUUUUUAAUGGGCCUUUUAUUUAAGAGUGAAAACACACUGACCAUCAGGACAGAAAAGUUUUUAACCAACCGCCUGCUUCAAUGCAAGCCAAUGGUAUGUGUCUAUGUUCUUUAUAAAUAUUUUGUAUCAUUUGCAUAUAGUGUUUGUACUUCAUGAACAAGCUUUCGUUAGUAGGAAUACAACUGAAAAAUAAAAGGAGAAUUUCGACGUCUCGAGCGAAGCCCCUUCGUCUAGAGUUACUUCAUUGUACUUGAUAACUUUGUACUUCGUGAACUUGCUAAUCAUUUUUAGUAUUAGAAAGAGUUAUCUCAAGUAAAAUAUGGUAGACACCUCCACUUUUUUAAUUUUACAAAUCAUUUUUGAAUCCGAAAAGAAGGCCUAAACUAGAGUGAGGUGGUUCAGGGUAAAAACCGAAAACCGCGUCUAAAAAAACCCGAAAAAAUUAUUUUUGUAACUUGUGUCAAAAUAUACUACUGCUGGAUUAAACUUACGUUACACAUUCAAAACUUUACUGUCUUUAGUUUAAAAAUGGUAUUGUAGUAGUACUGCCUAAAUAUUUAAGCGGUAAGCCACUGUUAAGUGUGCUAUUUUCUUACUUUUUAAAAAUGUUCGACCAUGCACCAUUUUUUUCAAUAGUAUAGUAAUAUAGAGGUUCAGAUUUGACUCCCACUUCCGCUCACUGGCUUAGUACGCAUCUGAUUGGUUAAUCAGAUAGUUCAAAUGCAUCUGAUUGGUUAAUCAGAUAGUUCAAAUGCAACUGAUUGGUUAAUCAGAUAAUUAAACGCAUUUCAGUUCAACUCAGUUUACUGAGUUUCAAACUGUUUUUUCCGAUUUUUUUUCGCCUAGAACCUCAAAAAUAUAAUUAAUUGUUUUCGGGUUUAUCGCAUCACCGUAGCAAGCCUGAAACUUGUAUAAACAAUAUUCGGCAUCCGGGUACUGCAUAAUGAGAUUAUCUCACUAUUUUGCCCGGAUAUGAUCUCUAUUGCACCCCUAGUAACAAUUUAUUCUUUACAGAUUGUAGAUCCACCCAGGACGGGCUAACGUGCCAAAAACGGAACUUUGCGAGAAACUCGCGAAAAUGUACAAGACAACAGCUGACGGAAUCUUCAGCUUUGGGUUUAAAAACCCAAUUGUAAAACUCCCGUGUAAACUCUUGUUUGUUAACUCUCAUGCAACUCUUGUUCUCGUUUGAUCAAGCAUUGAAAGUUGAGAAAACUCUCAUGUAAACUCUCGCUUGUCAAUUCUCAUGCAACUCUUGUUCUCGUUUGAUCAAGCAAUGACAGUUGGGAAAACUCUCAUGUAAACUCUCGCUUGUCAAUUCUCAUGUAACUCUUGUUCUCGUUUGAUCAAGCAAUGACAGUUGGGAAAACUCUCAUGUAAACUCUCGCUUGUCAAUUCUCAUGUAACUCUUGUUCUCGUUUGAUCAAGCAAUGACAGUUGAGAAAACUCUCAUGUAAACUCUCGCUUGUCAAUUCUCAUGCAACUCUUGUUCUCGUUUGGUCAAGCAAUGAAAGUUGAGAAAACUCUCAUGUAAACUCUCGCUUGUCAAUUCUCAUGCAACUCUUGUUCUCGUUUGGUCAAGCAAUGAAAGUUGAGAAAACUCUCAUGUAAACUCUCGCUUGUCAAUUCUCAUGCAACUCUUGUUCUCGUUUGGUCAAGCAAUGAAAGUUGAGAAAACUCUCAUGUAAACUCUCGCUUGUCAAUUCUCAUGCAACUCUUGUUCUCGUUUGGUCAAGCAAUGAAAGUUGAGAAAACUCUCAUGUAAACUCUCGCUUGUCAAUUCUCAUGCAACUCUUGUUCUCGUUUGGUCAAGCAAUGAAAGUUGAGAAAACUCUCAUGUAAACUCUCGCUUGUCAAUUCUCAUGCAACUCUUGUUCUCGUUUGGUCAAGCAAUGAAAGUUGAGAAAACUCUCAUGUAAACUCUCGCUUGUCAAUUCUCAUGCAACUCUUGUUCUCGUUUGGUCAAGCAAUGAAAGUUGAGAAAACUCUCAUGUAAACUCUCGCUUGUCAAUUCUCAUGCAACUCUUGUUCUCGUUUGGUCAAGCAAUGAAAGUUGAGAAAACUCUCAUGUAAACUGUCGCUUAAUUGUCAACUCUCAUAAAAAAAUUAUAGUUAAAUGAGCUACGAUUACGAUACAAAUUGAAUUUUGAGUGAUUGCAUUUAAUUAAACCUUACUGUGGAGUAGUACUCGUACUAUUGCACGGCGGCUGAGCGUUCAAUAGUACGUACACGCAUAAAAAUUAAACGCACAAGUUAUUACAGGUCUGCAAACAAGUUGUUACAAAUCUGUUCACGAGCUGUCAACAAGCUGUCUUCGCACUGCUUGUUCCCAGUUGUUGUAACAAGUUUGGAACAAGCUGUUCACAACUUGUAACAAGCUUGAUGGCAUUAUCAGACUUGUUACAAGGUGGUUCUAACAAGUCUGAUACAGUCAUGAUAUAACAAGAAUGUUACAAAUUUGACGACACAAGGUUGUAACAAUAUUGUUAUAUCAUGACUGUAUCGGUCUUGUCGGAACACACUUGCAACAAGUCUGAUAAUAUCAACAAGGUUGUUACAAGUUGUUAACAGCUUGUUCCAAACUUGUUGACAACUUGGGACAAGCAGUGCGAACGCAACUUGUUGACGGCUUGUUGGCAGACUUGCUACAAGAUGUGAGAUUUUUACGCGUGUGCACGUACGCACGUGCGGUAGCAAAAAUGGGAAUUUUUAAUUCCAUAUCACGUGAUCAUUAUCAACCAAUUAAAUGACCAGAAUUGAAUGUUAUAUAAUAGCUGCUCUUAGUGCGAUCAAAAUCGCGUAUG
Paramuricea clavata is the source of this 5379-nucleotide non-coding RNA. The record is from the annotation of a GenBank genome assembly. NCBI's taxonomy places the organism in Eukaryota, Metazoa, Cnidaria, Anthozoa, Malacalcyonacea, Plexauridae.